CCAAUGAGGAACCACAUUCCCGUUUCUCGACCCCGGAAUUCUAGCAUGCACACCUGUUUGUAAUAACUUUCAUUAUAUAUACCACUCCGGUUGCGAUGCUGCUUCGCAAGAUCAACACAAACGUGGGUCUUAUAUGUCUACACGGUGAGUUUCCCUGCCACAAGCUUCACUGUUUGGACGGCGUGGAAGAAGUUGCUCCAGAAGAACCUAUGCAGCUUGUUUCGUCUAACCCCGGAGGAGAGACUACGCCGAAGACAUGAAGGUCUCUGCAUGUGCUGUGGUGCUGCAGGUCACAUUCUGCGUGAUUGUCGGGCUCGUCCGAAAAGACCUCAGUUUCCAUCCCCGGGAGAGCGUGUGGAGUAGUAGUAAAAGGGUAAGUGAUCCCACUCCGGGUAUGGUUUCAAAGUCUUUCCUUAUACCUGUUACUCUGUACUGCCAGGAAUUUUCAUUUGUGUUUCUAGCCUUGAUCGAUUCUGGAGCGGAAGGAAACUUCAUUCAUUCUAAACUGACCAAGCAACUCCAUGUGCCUAUGAUCUACUUGCACAUUCCGCUAAGACUGUCUGCUGUGGAUGGAGACCCAGUUGGGCAGGGUGUCGUCUCUUUCGCCACUGCACCCAUCAAAGUGAAAGUCAGUGCUUUGCAUUCUGAGAACUUAAAGUUUUUCGUGUUGGACUCCUCUGAAUAUGACAUAAUUUUAGGACUUCCUUGGUUGAAAACUCAUGAUCUGGUAAUAUCUUGGUCAGAACGGGAAAUACUAUCAUGGUCGAGUUAUUGUCAUCAGAACUGUUUAGCAUUGCCAUGUAUAGUAAAUUCUGUGUAUGUCGAACGUCCAGAGGUCUCUACUCCGGUCUCGGUGCCUUCCGAAUACUCUGAUUUGCGUUUUGACUAUAUGACUUCUUAAUAAUCAAAUACCGCCAAAAUCUUGCAUCUACCCACUUACUCAGUCGAAGAACGAUGUUAUGGAGAAAUAUAUACAAGAGGCUCUAGGUCAGGGGUUUAUAAGGCCCUCUACUUCACCCACAGCAGCAAGUUUUUUCUUUGUAAAGAAAAGAGGUGGUGACCUUAGACCAUGUAUAGACUAUAGAGGGUUGAAUCAGAUCACUAAACCAUACCCUUAUCCGCUACCCCUAGUUCCCAUAGCUUUAGAGCAACUUCGAGGCGCAAACAUUUUUACUAAAUUAGACUUGCACAGUGCUUAUAACUUGAUUCGCAUUCAAGAGGGUGACGAGUGGAAAACCGCCUUCCACACCACUAGGGGGCAUUAUGAAUAUUUGGUGAUGCCUUUUGGUUUGCGUAAUGCGCCGUCUGUUUUCCAAGCUUUUAUCAAUGACGUUUUACGUGACAUGUUGGGUCGUUUUGUAAUAGCGUAUAUAGACGAUAUUUUGAUUUACUCCUCAGAUAUGACCACCCACAUUCAACAUGUGAGACAGGUACUCAUGCGUCUCCUUGAGAAUAACCUCUAUGUUAAGAGAGAAAAGUGUGAGUUCCAUACGUACUCUACGUCAUUUUUAGGGUACAUCAUCAGUGCUGAGGGGGUGGUUAUGGAUGAUUGUAAGAUUGACGCAAUCAUAAACUGGCCAGUGCCGAAAAAAGAGAGUUACAACGUUUUCUGGGUUUUGCUAACUUUUACAGACGCUUUAUUAGGAAUUAUAGUUCCGUGGCAGUGCCCCUGACGUCUCUCCUUAAAGGAAAUGCCAAGAUGUUGGAAUUGACACCCCAAGCUAACUGCGUUUUUACACCUUAAGGAAAGGUUUACUUUGGCUCCCUUGUUAAAACAUCCAGCUCCCUCCAAACCUUUUAUUCUAGAGGUAGAUGUGUCUAAUGUGGGAGUAGGAGCUGUACUAUCCCAAUCCAGUGGCUCUCCGAGUAAGUUAUACCCAGUUGCUUACUUUUCUCACAAAUUAAGUCCAUCAGAGUAUAACUAUGGGAUUGGAGACAAGGAGUUACUAGCCAUAAAAUUAGCCUUAGAAGAAUGGCGGCAUUGGUUAGAGGGUGCUCAACAUCCUUUCCUUAUUCUUACAGAUGACCCGUGUUUGUAUUUCGGUACCGGCUUUUGUCUUUUCCCUUCUGUACUUUCACUGUUCAUUACCGCAUGGUUUGUGUUUAUUCUUAAAAUAAACGGUUUGAUCCCUUUUA
Molecule: long non-coding RNA, 2136 nt
Organism: Trichomycterus rosablanca
Lineage: Eukaryota; Metazoa; Chordata; Actinopteri; Siluriformes; Trichomycteridae
Exons: 2
Source: RefSeq, a predicted model, not a curated record